Molecule: unclassified non-coding RNA, 208 nt
Filed under: rhizosphere metagenome
Description: partial ribosomal RNA internal transcribed spacer region
Source: RNAcentral
GUAGGUGAACCUGCGGAGGGAUCAUUACAAGAACGCCCGGGCUUCGGCCUGGUUAUUCAUAACCCUUUGUUGUCCGACUCUGUUGCCUCCGGGGCGACCCUGCCUUCGGGCGGGGGCUCCGGGUGGACACUUCAAACUCUUGCGUAACUUUGCAGUCUGAGUAAAAAUUAAUAGCUAAAAACUUUCAACAACGGAUCUCUUGGUUCUG